This 204-nucleotide non-coding RNA is filed under the name Mycoplasmatota bacterium. RNAcentral describes it as "Tenericutes bacterium T-box sequence". It matches the Rfam family "T-box leader". Rfam says of the family: Uncharged tRNA acts as the effector for transcription antitermination of genes in the T-box leader family. T-boxes are found upstream of many aminoacyl-tRNA synthetase genes and some amino acid biosynthetic genes usually in Gram-positive bacteria. Lineage: Bacteria; Bacillati; Mycoplasmatota. The record is from RNAcentral.
AGUAAAUCAAUGACCGGAGAAGUAAGAUAGCACCUUUGUUUUAGCGAUUAAGGGAUGGUGGGAGCCUUAUACAAAAACUAUCUGAAUAACACCGCGAGAGACAGAAGAAAUUUAGUAGAACUGUACGUAUAUCUGCGUUAAAGAUUUUAAGCGCUAUUAUUAUAAUGGAAUUAAGGUGGUACCACGGUUUAAAUCGUCCUUUUU